UCCCCCGUAGCUCAGCAGGGAGAGCGCCACCUUGACAGGGUGGAGGUCUUAACUUUGAACCUCUCCGGGGGCA
Molecule: transfer RNA, 73 nt
Filed under: Bacillus anthracis (anthrax bacterium)
Lineage: Bacteria; Bacillati; Bacillota; Bacilli; Caryophanales; Bacillaceae
Description: tRNA-Val
Source: RNAcentral